RNAcentral lists this ribosomal RNA (93 nucleotides) under Escherichia coli. Its description in RNAcentral is "partial 16S ribosomal RNA". It matches the Rfam family "Bacterial small subunit ribosomal RNA", at positions 1441 to 1533 of the family's 1533-position model. Lineage: Bacteria; Pseudomonadati; Pseudomonadota; Gammaproteobacteria; Enterobacterales; Enterobacteriaceae. The record is from RNAcentral.
UUCGGGUGGGCGCUUACCACUUUGUGAUUCAUGACUGGGGUGAAGUCGUAACAAGGUAACCGUAGGGGAACCUGCGGUUGGAUCACCUCCUUA